This 2901-nucleotide ribosomal RNA is filed under the name Klebsiella quasipneumoniae. Its description in RNAcentral is "23S ribosomal RNA". It matches the Rfam family "Bacterial large subunit ribosomal RNA". The record is from RNAcentral. Lineage: Bacteria; Pseudomonadati; Pseudomonadota; Gammaproteobacteria; Enterobacterales; Enterobacteriaceae.
UUAAGCGACUAAGCGUACACGGUGGAUGCCCUGGCAGUCAGAGGCGAUGAAGGACGUGCUAAUCUGCGAAAAGCGUCGGUAAGGUGAUAUGAACCGUUAUAACCGGCGAUGUCCGAAUGGGGAAACCCAGUGUGAUUCGUCACACUAUCGUUAACUGAAUACAUAGGUUAACGAGGCGAACCGGGGGAACUGAAACAUCUAAGUACCCCGAGGAAAAGAAAUCAACCGAGAUUCCCCCAGUAGCGGCGAGCGAACGGGGAGCAGCCCAGAGUCUGAAUCAGCUUGUGUGUUAGUGGAACGGUCUGGAAAGUCCGACGGUACAGGGUGAUAGUCCCGUACACCAAAAUGCACAGGCUGUGAACUCGAAGAGUAGGGCGGGACACGUGGUAUCCUGUCUGAAUAUGGGGGGACCAUCCUCCAAGGCUAAAUACUCCUGACUGACCGAUAGUGAACCAGUACCGUGAGGGAAAGGCGAAAAGAACCCCGGCGAGGGGAGUGAAAAAGAACCUGAAACCGUGUACGUACAAGCAGUGGGAGCACCUUUAUGGUGUGACUGCGUACCUUUUGUAUAAUGGGUCAGCGACUUAUAUUCUGUAGCAAGGUUAACCGUAUAGGGGAGCCGCAGGGAAACCGAGUCUUAACUGGGCGUUAAGUUGCAGGGUAUAGACCCGAAACCCGGUGAUCUAGCCAUGGGCAGGUUGAAGGUUGGGUAACACUAACUGGAGGACCGAACCGACUAAUGUUGAAAAAUUAGCGGAUGACUUGUGGCUGGGGGUGAAAGGCCAAUCAAACCGGGAGAUAGCUGGUUCUCCCCGAAAGCUAUUUAGGUAGCGCCUCGUGAACUCAUCUUCGGGGGUAGAGCACUGUUUCGGCUAGGGGGUCAUCCCGACUUACCAACCCGAUGCAAACUACGAAUACCGAAGAAUGUUAUCACGGGAGACACACGGCGGGUGCUAACGUCCGUCGUGAAGAGGGAAACAACCCAGACCGCCAGCUAAGGUCCCAAAGUCAUGGUUAAGUGGGAAACGAUGUGGGAAGGCACAGACAGCCAGGAUGUUGGCUUAGAAGCAGCCAUCAUUUAAAGAAAGCGUAAUAGCUCACUGGUCGAGUCGGCCUGCGCGGAAGAUGUAACGGGGCUAAACCAUGCACCGAAGCUGCGGCAGCGACACGAUGUGUUGUUGGGUAGGGGAGCGUUCUGUAAGCCUGCGAAGGUGACCUGUGAGGGUUGCUGGAGGUAUCAGAAGUGCGAAUGCUGACAUAAGUAACGAUAAAGCGGGUGAAAAGCCCGCUCGCCGGAAGACCAAGGGUUCCUGUCCAACGUUAAUCGGGGCAGGGUGAGUCGACCCCUAAGGCGAGGCCGAAAGGCGUAGUCGAUGGGAAACAGGUUAAUAUUCCUGUACUUGGUGUUACUGCGAAGGGGGGACGGAGAAGGCUAUGUUAGCCGGGCGACGGUUGUCCCGGUUUAAGCAUGUAGGCUGGUUAUCCAGGCAAAUCCGGAUAAUCAAGGCUGAGGUGUGAUGACGAGGCACUACGGUGCUGAAGUAACAAAUGCCCUGCUUCCAGGAAAAGCCUCUAAGCAUCAGGUAACAUCAAAUCGUACCCCAAACCGACACAGGUGGUCAGGUAGAGAAUACCAAGGCGCUUGAGAGAACUCGGGUGAAGGAACUAGGCAAAAUGGUGCCGUAACUUCGGGAGAAGGCACGCUGGUGUGUAGGUGAAGUCCCUGCGGAUGGAGCUGAGACCAGUCGAAGAUACCAGCUGGCUGCAACUGUUUAUUAAAAACACAGCACUGUGCAAACACGAAAGUGGACGUAUACGGUGUGACGCCUGCCCGGUGCCGGAAGGUUAAUUGAUGGGGUUAUCCGUAAGGAGAAGCUCUUGAUCGAAGCCCCGGUAAACGGCGGCCGUAACUAUAACGGUCCUAAGGUAGCGAAAUUCCUUGUCGGGUAAGUUCCGACCUGCACGAAUGGCGUAAUGAUGGCCAGGCUGUCUCCACCCGAGACUCAGUGAAAUUGAACUCGCUGUGAAGAUGCAGUGUACCCGCGGCAAGACGGAAAGACCCCGUGAACCUUUACUAUAGCUUGACACUGAACAUUGAGCCUUGAUGUGUAGGAUAGGUGGGAGGCUUUGAAGCGUGGACGCCAGUCUGCGUGGAGCCAACCUUGAAAUACCACCCUUUAAUGUUUGAUGUUCUAACGUUGGCCCCUGACCGGGGUUGCGGACAGUGUCUGGUGGGUAGUUUGACUGGGGCGGUCUCCUCCCAAAGCGUAACGGAGGAGCACGAAGGUUAGCUAAUCCUGGUCGGACAUCAGGAGGUUAGUGCAAUGGCAUAAGCUAGCUUGACUGCGAGCGUGACGGCGCGAGCAGGUGCGAAAGCAGGUCAUAGUGAUCCGGUGGUUCUGAAUGGAAGGGCCAUCGCUCAACGGAUAAAAGGUACUCCGGGGAUAACAGGCUGAUACCGCCCAAGAGUUCAUAUCGACGGCGGUGUUUGGCACCUCGAUGUCGGCUCAUCACAUCCUGGGGCUGAAGUAGGUCCCAAGGGUAUGGCUGUUCGCCAUUUAAAGUGGUACGCGAGCUGGGUUUAGAACGUCGUGAGACAGUUCGGUCCCUAUCUGCCGUGGGCGCUGGAGAAUUGAGGGGGGCUGCUCCUAGUACGAGAGGACCGGAGUGGACGCAUCACUGGUGUUCGGGUUGUCAUGCCAAUGGCACUGCCCGGUAGCUAAAUGCGGAAGAGAUAAGUGCUGAAAGCAUCUAAGCACGAAACUUGCCCCGAGAUGAGUUCUCCCUGAGACUUUAAGUCUCCUGAAGGAACGUUGAAGACGACGACGUUGAUAGGCCGGGUGUGUAAGCGCAGCGAUGCGUUGAGCUAACCGGUACUAAUGAACCGUGAGGCUUAACCUU